RNAcentral lists this microRNA (23 nucleotides) under Apis mellifera (honey bee). RNAcentral's name for it is "ame-miR-9876 (Mir9876)". The record is from RNAcentral. Lineage: Eukaryota; Metazoa; Arthropoda; Insecta; Hymenoptera; Apidae.
GGAUCGAUAGAACGAGUGUUCCC